This 449-nucleotide ribosomal RNA is filed under the name uncultured bacterium. RNAcentral describes it as "bacterial SSU rRNA". It matches the Rfam family "Bacterial small subunit ribosomal RNA", at positions 354 to 796 of the family's 1533-position model. The record is from RNAcentral.
GUGGGGAAUAUUGGACAAUGGGCGAAAGCCUGAUCCAGCCAUGCCACGUGUGUGAAGAAGGUCUUCGGAUUGUAAAGCACUUUAAGUUGGGAGGAAGGGCAGUAAGUUAAUACCUUGCUGUUUUGACGUUACCGACAGAAUAAGCACCGGCUAACUUCGUGCCAGCAGCCGCGGUAAUACGAAGGGUGCAAGCGUUAAUCGGAAUUACUGGGCGUAAAGCGCGCGUAGGUGGUUUUGUAAGUUGGAGGUGAAAUCCCCGGGCUCAACCUGGAACUGCCUCCAAAACUGCAUGACUAGAGUACGGUAGAGGGUAGUGGAAUUUCCUGUGUAGCGGUGAAAUGCGUAGAUAUAGGAAGGAACACCAGUGGCGAAGGCGACUACCUGGACUGAUACUGACACUGAGGUGCGAAAGCGUGGGGAGCAAACAGGAUUAGAUACCCGGGUAGUCC